CAGAUCUCCGAUGUGCCUAGCCGGCCCCCACAAUCAGCACGGCUGCUCUGACGUAGAGGGCCACCUGGCAAGACACUGGGGGAAACCUCCAGCAAAGAGCCAGAAAGGAACUGAGGUCCUCCGUCCGACAGCCUGUGAAGAACUGCAGCCUGCCAAUAACCACAUGGUUUCUUAGCAGGAUGGCUGUGACUCAGGAUCUCUCAUAAAAUUUAAGUCAAUCUAUUGGCUGAGGCUGCUGUCAUCUGAAGGCUUGACUGGGCUGGAGGAUCUACUUCCAAGAAGGUGCACUCCCAUGGCUAUUAGCUGGAGGCCUGCAUUCCUCAAAGGCUCUUGGCUAGAGGCCUCAGUUAAUUCCUGACCAUACGGGCCUCUCCACAGGGCUACCUGAGUAUCCUCAAGACAUGGCAACUGGCCUUCCCCAGAGACAGUGAUUCAAAAAUGAGAAAGAGAGGCUAAGAUGGAAGGCACAAUACUUUUUUAUAAAUUAGCCUUUAACAUCUUUCAGAGGUGGAACUUAAUUCCUCUCCCUUUAUGUGUGGGCUGGAUUUAGUGAGUUGAUUCUCAUAGACAGAAUAAAACAAAGCACAAGUGUUUAUUUUUUUUCUUGUACUUCCUGUAGUUUUACCUUUGUGAAUAUUGAUAUUGUGUUAUUCAGUGCUUCUAUCUGCACUGUUAAUUGCACUUUUUAACAAAAUUGAAAGCCCAUUUUGACUUAUUUAAUGCUUUGUCCUGUAUUCAACCUUGUCUGAUAUUAAAAUGACUAACUUGUUUUCUUUUUGUUUGCAUUGUCUGGUAUAUUUCACUCAUCCAUUUGUUUUCAAACUUUCUGAAUUGCUUGCUUUAGGGGUGUUUCUUAUGUACAGCAUAAACUUUAGAUUUUCUUUGUGAUGUAUUCUAAAAGUUAUUUUCUUUC
Molecule: long non-coding RNA, 913 nt
Filed under: Homo sapiens (human)
Lineage: Eukaryota; Metazoa; Chordata; Mammalia; Primates; Hominidae
Description: HSALNT0381541
Source: RNAcentral